AACGAACGCUGGCGGCAUGCCUUACACAUGCAAGUCGAACGGCAGCACGGGGGCAACCCUGGUGGCGAGUGGCGAACGGGUGAGUAACAUAUCGGAACAUACCCUAGAGUGGGGGAUAACGUAGCGAAAGUUACGCUAAUACCGCAUACGAUCUAAGGAUGAAAGUGGGGGAUCUUCGGACCUCAUGCUCAUGGAGUGGCCGAUAUCUGAUUAGCUAGUUGGUGAGGUAAAGGCUCACCAAGGCGACGAUCAGUAGCUGGUUUGAGAGAACGACCAGCCACACUGGAACUGAGACACGGUCCAGACUCCUACGGGAGGCAGCAGUGGGGAAUUUUGGACAAUGGGGGCAACCCUGAUCCAGCAAUGCCGCGUGAGUGAAGAAGGCCUUCGGGUUGGUUAAAGUACGUCUUUUGUUCUAGGGAAGGAAACGGGUAGG
RNAcentral lists this ribosomal RNA (436 nucleotides) under uncultured bacterium. RNAcentral describes it as "bacterial SSU rRNA". It matches the Rfam family "Bacterial small subunit ribosomal RNA", at positions 29 to 459 of the family's 1533-position model. The record is from RNAcentral.